CCUACGGGAGGCAGCAGUGAGGAAUAUUGGUCAAUGGCCGGAAGGCUGAACCAGCCAUGCCGCGUGAAGGUCAGUGCCCUAUGGGCGUUAAACUUCUUUUGUGCGGGAGCAAUAAUGGUCACGUGUGGCCAGACGAGAGUACCGUACGAAUAAGCAUCGGCUAACUCCGGUCCAGCAGCCGCGGUAAUACGGGGGAUGCAAGCGUUAUCCGGAUUUAUUGGGUUUAAAGGGUGCGGAGGCUGUGAGGUAAGUCAGCGGUGAAAUGCCCGCGCUCAACGGGGUGAAGUGCCAUUGAUACUGCCUGGCUGGAAUGCGGAUGCCGUGGGAGGAAUGUGUGGUGUAGCGGUGAAAUGCAUAGAUAUCACACAGAACACCGAUUGCGAAGGCAUCUCACGAAUCCGCGAUUGACGCUGAUGCACGAAAGCGUGGGUAUCAAACAGGAUUAGAUACCCCAGUAGUC
Molecule: ribosomal RNA, 460 nt
Filed under: uncultured bacterium
Lineage: Bacteria
Description: partial 16S ribosomal RNA
Rfam family: Bacterial small subunit ribosomal RNA
Source: RNAcentral